AUGCCAAUGCGAGAUGCUGCCCGAGCUGCCUGCGUUUCUCGUACCUUUAUGUGUUCCUGGAGACUCCAUACCAGCCUCACCUUCAGUAGAAAAACACUAGGCAUGGAUGAUAAUGUGUGUGAAAUGGAUGGAAAAGCAAAAGAUCUCACCGGCAAAGUUGACAAAAUUUGGAUAGAACACCCAGGCAUUGGUGUGAAGAAAGUCAAAAUUAAGUUCUAUGAUUACAGGACCAGGGCCUAUUAUCUUGAUCGUUGGCUUCAGAUUGCCGUCACACCUGGGAUUGAAGAACUCACUGUUAUUCCUUCUGUGAGCAAACAAAAGUUCAACUUCCCAUGUUCACUUCUAUCUGAAGGAGGUGAAAACUCGAUUCGGUGUCUGAAUCUUUACCAGUGUGUGUUCUGUCCUACAGUCAGACUUGGUUUGAGAAGUUUGACUCAACUUGAGCUGUUUGAUGUCCGUAUUACAGGAAAUGAGUUAGCCUGCCUUCUAGACAAUUCUGUUGCUUUGCAGCAUUUGGCAGUCAUGUAUUGCAGUAAGAUUAUUAGACUGAAGAUACCUUCCCUGCUGCAGCGACUCAUCACCCUUGAGGUGUCUAACUGUAAGAGGCUGCAAGCAAUAGAGAUCGAAGCUCAAUGUCUCUCCAAUUUUCGGUUUAUCAGUGACCACCUAGCACAUCUCUCGUUUGGAGAAGCAUUACAGUUGAAGACCCUAGUCAUGCAGUGUCGUGGUGCUCUCUGUUAUGCUCGUGCCAAUCUUCCAUCCAGCUUGUCAAAUCUUGAAACUCUUUCUAUAUGUUCACAUUGUGAGAUGGUCACUACACCAAUGAUUGGUAGCAAAUUUUCAUUCCUCAAGCACUUGACUGUUGUUCUUGCUGCGCCCCCAGCCUAUGAUUAUUGUUCUCUCAUAUCAUUUUUUGAUGCUUCUCCUUCAUUGGAGACAUUCAUCCUGAAUGUGGUGUGGAACAGCAUGCGGCAUCCCUCCAUUUUUACAGACCCUUCAGGUACGAGGCAGAUGCCGGAGCACCGCCAUGACAAGCUCAAGAGUGUGACUAUUACUGGUUUCUCCUCUGCAAAGUGCUUGGCUGAGCUAACAUGUCACAUUCUUGAGAGUGCAAAGUCACUUGAGUAUCUUACAUUGGACACCACCGAUGGAAAUCGUGUCUUUAUGUGUUCUGUCAACGGAUCUGACAAAUGCUAUUGUAGCCCGAUGGGCAGGGAUGCCAUCGUGGAAGCUCGUCGAGGGCUCUUGGCCAUCAGGACAUACAUCGAGGGAAUUGUUCCUUCUAAAGUGAAGUUCACUCUUGUGGAGCCUUGCAGCCGGUGCCAUGUUGUUGAGCUCUAG
This 1341-nucleotide ribosomal RNA is filed under the name Triticum aestivum (bread wheat). RNAcentral describes it as "partial small subunit ribosomal RNA". The record is from RNAcentral. Lineage: Eukaryota; Viridiplantae; Streptophyta; Magnoliopsida; Poales; Poaceae.